This 514-nucleotide ribosomal RNA is filed under the name uncultured bacterium. RNAcentral describes it as "partial 16S ribosomal RNA". It matches the Rfam family "Bacterial small subunit ribosomal RNA", at positions 28 to 523 of the family's 1533-position model. The record is from RNAcentral.
GAUGAACGCUGGCGGCGUGCCUAAUACAUGCAAGUCGAGCGAAUGGAUUAAGAGCUUGCUCUUAUGAAGUUAGCGGCGGACGGGUGAGUAACACGUGGGUAACCUGCCCAUAAGACUGGGAUAACUCCGGGAAACCGGGGCUAAUACCGGAUAACAUUUUGAACCGCAUGGUUCGAAAUUGAACGGCGGCUUCGGCCGGUACUUAUGGAUGGACCCGCGUCGCAUUAGCUAGUUGGUGAGGUAACGGCUCACCAAGGCAACGAUGCGUAGCCGACCUGAGAGGGUGAUCGGCACACUGGGACUGAGACACGGCCCAGACUCCUACGGGAGGCAGCAGUAGGGAAUCUUCCGCAAUGGACGAAAGUCCGACGGAGCAACGCCGCGUGAGUGAUGAAGGCUUUCGGGUCGUAAAACUCUGUUGUUAGGGAAGAACAAGUGCUAGUUGAAUAAGCUGGCACCUUGACGGUACCUAACCAGAAAGCCACGGCUAACUACGUGCCAGCCGCCGCGGUAA